RNAcentral lists this ribosomal RNA (437 nucleotides) under uncultured Oscillospiraceae bacterium. Its description in RNAcentral is "partial 16S ribosomal RNA". It matches the Rfam family "Bacterial small subunit ribosomal RNA", at positions 341 to 792 of the family's 1533-position model. Lineage: Bacteria; Bacillati; Bacillota; Clostridia; Eubacteriales; Oscillospiraceae. The record is from RNAcentral.
ACGGAAGGUAGCAGUGGGGAAUAUUGGGCAAUGGGCGAAAGCCUGACCCAGCAACGCCGCGUGAAGGAAGAAGGUCUUCGGACUGUAAACUUCUUUUAUGAGGGACGAAGGACGUGACGGUACCUCAUGAAUAAGCCACGGCUAACUACGUGCCAGCAGCCGCGGUAAUACGUAGGUGGCAAGCGUUAUCCGGAUUUACUGGGUGUAAAGGGCGCGUAGGCGGGAAGGCAAGUCAGAUGUGAAAUCCAUGGGCUCAACCCAUGAACUGCAUUUGAAACUGUUUUUCUUGAGUGCUGGAGAGGUAGACGGAAUUCCUUGUGUAGCGGUGAAAUGCGUAGAUAUAAGGAAGAACACCAGUGGCGAAGGCGGUCUACUGGACAGUAACUGACGCUGAGGCGCGAAAGCGUGGGGAGCAAACAGGAUUAGAUACCCUGGUA